This 59-nucleotide non-coding RNA is filed under the name Dasypus novemcinctus (nine-banded armadillo). RNAcentral describes it as "microRNA dno-mir-502 precursor". Its record names the gene dno-mir-502. It matches the Rfam family "mir-500 microRNA precursor family", at positions 19 to 77 of the family's 84-position model. RNAcentral also lists the same sequence under 1 other name. Lineage: Eukaryota; Metazoa; Chordata; Mammalia; Cingulata; Dasypodidae. The record is from miRBase by way of RNAcentral.
AAUCCUUGCUAUCUGGGUGCUAGUGCUAUCUCAAUGCAAUGCACCUAGGCAAGGAUUCA